CAGUCGCCACGGGAAUACGUAGGUGGCAAGCGUUGUCCGGAAUUAUUGGGCGUAAAGGGCUCGCAGGCGGUUUCUUAAGUCAGAUGUGAAAGCCCCCGGCUCAACCGGGGAGGGUCAUUGGAAACUGGGAAACUUGAGUGCAGAAGAGGAGAGUGGAAUUCCACGUGUAGCGGUGAAAUGCGUAGAGAUGUGGAGGAACACCAGUGGCGAAGGCGACUCUCUGGUCUGUAACUGACGCUGAGGAGCGAAAGCGUGGGGAGCGAACAGGAUUAGAUACCCCAGUAGUCCCUGUCUCUUAUAC
This 301-nucleotide ribosomal RNA is filed under the name uncultured bacterium. RNAcentral's name for it is "partial 16S ribosomal RNA". It matches the Rfam family "Bacterial small subunit ribosomal RNA", at positions 509 to 807 of the family's 1533-position model. The record is from RNAcentral.